ACCAACCAACGGCAAAACCCGAUCGAAUAAAUAGCGAAAACAACAACAUUGGCCAACAGCCAUGUCAAUUCCAGCGACAAUAUCAGUUCCUAAACGCUCCAAAAUUCGCAACAGCUUCAACCACUUCAAUAACCAAACAAUGGCUCGUCGACCAACGACAACCCGACCCAACUCCGUUUUCCCCACCGGAUAACAGAAUUUAACAACCACAAUUCAACGGUAAAAUUAGUACCCAAGUCAAACUAGCCGUUUCCUUUCGGUUUUACCGUAUAAUAGAAUUUAACAACCACAAUUCAACGGUAAAAUUAGUACCCAAGUCAAACUAGCCGUUUCCUUUCGGUUUUACCGUCUUACCCUCUCUGUACAAUUAUUUAUAGCCAAAAACAGACCGCUUUCAGGAUAUUCAGUCUAGGAUUCACCAUUUCGGAAAAAAAGUUAAUUUUCACCUUCAGAGCAAUGUACCUCUUUUUGACCCUUUCAAAUUCAAAAUCCCAAGCUCCUCUAUAAAUAGAGGCUGAAGGGAAGAGGAAAAGGGGAGAAUUUUUGUGGAAAAAUUGGGGUUCUGAAGGCGCUUGCUUUUUUAACCUCACGAAAGACGAACACACUCCGAAAAUCAAAUUUCAGCAAAAUUGUGGAACUCCGGCAAGGCUAAUCGACAUUCCGGUGGUGAAAGUCUGUUUGUUUAAGGCUCGUUGUCCUAGUCGCUGCCCCCGAAAAGGUGAACUACUCACCCAAUUUGUUCUUUCGGUAACUAAAGUUUUCCUCUCAUGUUAAAUUUAAACUUGUUUGGUUUUUGGUAUGAAUGCUCAUUUAGUGUUCUGUGAUCACUUCACCUAGUUUUUGUUAUUGUUUUGAUUGUAAAGUAUCAAAAUAUAAACUUUAUUGGUGUUGCGAUUUUCGUGUUGAUAGGAGAAUGUUUGUUUGGGCUGGUUCUAGUUAAAAAAUAUGCGUGCUUAAUACCAGAAAAGAUCGACUUUUGAAGUUGAAAUAAACUUUAUCAUAGCCCGUCUCCAUUUCGAUAGUCUGCAGCCUUAAUCAGAUAACAUUAACUUCCUUACAAACUUCACUGUGUUUCAUAACUUAGUUUGGAGUUUAAAGAUGAUUAUUUCCUGAGAUUAUUUUGGUUUUGCUCAAAGUUCAGAAUUUAGACAGCAGCCAUGAAAUAAUUUCCCUAUAAUAAUAAAUUUCAUCCCCUUAGUUUGAUUAAUUUUCCUAAGGCAGCAACUCUUUGUUUGAUUAAUUUUCCUAAGGCAGCAACCUGAUUUGCUUUGGGUUAAACUGGUAGAACCAUCUUCCUUUACCCCAUUGGAGUUUUGAUGAAAUUAUAAUGGCUUAUUCCCGACAAUUAAAACUUGGCUCUUUUCGUGCUUACCUUUUCCUAGAUUUACACGCUUAUGUUGCGCCCCUUUGAGUAUAUUGUGACCAUGGUUGUAUGAACAAAGAAUGUAAAUGAACUACAUCCAAAACACUUUCUUUUGAUACGAGCAUGAGGAAUGGUCGGAUUACUUCGUUUGUUAUUGAGCUUUUCUUUGUAUUGAAUGAAAUUUUUUAAGCAUGGGGGGCGUUUGCUUAUGUCCUUUCAACGUCUCGCCUUUUACUUUACUUGUUCUAAAAGUAGCGAAUCCGUUCUUGUUCAGUAUGUGCUCACUGCCAUGGUAUAACUUUGGACGAAAUAAAGUAAUUGGAAUUUGUUAUGGUUGUAUGACUAUCGCAUUUGUUUAAAGCAUGUUAAUCCCAAAUUACAUUUGGUGUUUCCAUGCAUCUGAAUGUUUCCCUUUAAUUAUCAUUUACCGAAUUAAACAUACAUUAAUUCUCUCUCUCUUUUGUUUUGGUGCAUGUGACGCCAAGUCUGUCUCGGAACCCAUUUUCUACUUUAGUGGGCCAAGGAGGCCCACAAUUCAUCGAGUCAAGCCCCAACGUAGCUCAAUUGGGCUCUAAAGCAUAAAGAAAUAAGGCUGGUAUACACAGGUAUACACCAGAUAACAGGUUUUCUAGGUCCAAGGGGAUGAUACACGCGCCAAUAUACGAUGCACAAUGGAGGUGUGCAGUGUAUAUACCAAAAAACGCUGGAAAACGUGGCUCAUAUACGCUCACUAUACAGCUGGUAUACAAAUGCAGAAAAAGGACCCAAAGUCCAUAGGAAAUAGGCCCAAAGGUUGGCCAACUUCGAAAUGGGCUUAAAAGGGACCAAAUUUUAACCUUUCUUAUAUUGUAUUUGGUUAUGUGUUUGUAUUAAUUUCUUAAAAUUGGUUAACCUUAAUAGAUCCUCUUUGAAUCGUCAUUUUUGUUUGUUUUUAAAUUUUUCUUUUAAGUAUUUUAUCACAUAAGCGUAAUAUUUUAUUUUUUUUUAAAAUGGCAUUUUAUUUUAUCAAUAUGGUGAAGUAACUCAUUUAAAUUAAAAGAAUUUUCAUCAACCUAAAAUCCAUUUUCUUCAGGAGAGUUAAAAAAUAUUUUCACUAAUUUGUCAAAGUUCAUACUUUGUUUUGAAGAUAGACAUUUUUGUUAUCAAAAAUGAUUUUCAAAAAUCACUUCCUUUAUCCCUUUUUAUUUAAAAAAUAAAUAAAUAAAUAAAUAAAUAAAUAGGAAUAAUUUAUAAAAGAAAUGGGUUAGCUUAACCUUCUUUACAAAAAUUUUCUCAAGUCAAACAAGGUCAAUUUUUUUUUUUACUUGAUCGAAUAAAUGUCAUUUAAAUCUUUAGAAACUAGUAAAUAGAUAAUUUCUUGAGUUAAGGGUAAUAUUUCUAUAAAAUCACCCUUUUGCAAAAUAAUUAGCAACGUCAUGUAAGUUAGUCAAAAAUCUUUUGGUGAACCGUUUUAAAACGGAUGUUCCUAAGUGCCUUGUAAAACCUUCUUAGGACAUUAAUUGAAUCCUUACUCAAUUUCUCUUAUUUAAAAGGUUUAUUUUUGUUUUUGAAAUAUUUUUUAAGUUUUCUUGAUAUUUUCUACAAAAAUCAAGUGGUGACUCUGUGAAUUUUUUUAAAAAAUUAUUUCAAAACUUUCUUGGAUUUUUGAAAUAGUUUGAAAAAGUCAAAACCAUUUUCUUUAAAAUAAAAUCCGAAAAGGGUUGAAACCAAACUAUUUUUAUAAACUAUGUUAAGGCCUAAAAUUGCUAAUAUUUUUUAUAUUGAAAAUAUUUGUUUACACUUCUUAUAUUAAAUGAAUCGGUGAGAGUUAAUUUUAGAAAAAUAUUUGUCAAGGUGCAUUAUUGCAUCCUUGAAUUUUUAGAUGUUUCAGAAAUAUGCGUCCACCGCAUUCUUAAUUGAGACAAAUAUUUCAAGCGCGCCUAAACUUGCCUAGCAUUAAAAGGCAUUUUCGUCUCUUGUAAACUCGUAACAAUCUCUUAUCCAUUUGAAAUGCUACUUAACCUUAACAAUAACCCUAAGCAAUGUUCAUUUGAGGCGGUUUCAAGACAAAAAUUAAUUAUUUUAUAUUUGCCUAACGUUUAAAAAUUUUACCUAAGCAAAGUGUUUUCUAACCUUAACAGUAAACUUGAGCAAAAUUCAUUUAAAGUAAUAAAUUAAUUUAGCAAAUAAUUAUCAAGUUGUUAAUAAUAAUAAUAAUAAUAAUAAUAAUAAUAAUAAUAAUAAUAAUAAUAAUAAUAAUAAUAAAAUAACUGAAUAAGUCUAAUUUGAAAGCAAAUCCACGAAAAAAAAUGAAUCUCAAAAUAACAAUACCCAAAAUCUAAGCAAAAUACAAACAUAAACACGGUUCAAAGUCUGUUUUUGAGAAGAGUAGGCUAGUGGAUUAGUUUUUCUCCAGUGGAGUGACGAUAGCUUCGGAUUUUGCCGAUUUCAUGAAUUUGCCAUCAGGCGAUUGGUUUUGGGGACGGGAAAAGGAGGAAAAGAGGAGGGGCAACAGUGGGGUGGUGGGCAGCGGUGGUUUAAUGGGUUUGCUGACCGGUGGAAGGAGGUAGCCGUUGUUGCUCUGGUGGUGAGGAGUUCGCCGGACCUCGGCGCUUUGACCGGUGGCGGUGGUGGCUUGUUUUCAAACGGGUACCCGCCAUUCUCCGGUGAGGGUGGGUUUGGCCGACUUUUUCUUGGGAAUUUUUACCCGUUUUUCGGUGAGUCAGUGGACUGACGGGCUAACAGUGCUAGAAAAAUAAAUUCCGACAAGAAAAUUGCCAGAAAAUUCAGAAAAUUUGACCAUUUUUUGGCUAAUUUUUUAAUCCAAUCCCCUUUCAUCGUUUUCCUCUCAGUUUUCUCUUUUUCUCUUUUUCUCUCCUUUACCAUCUACUGUGUAGGUAUGUGUAUGUGUUGUACUGCUAUGUGAUAAAAAAUUUAAAGAGAGUGAGUGUGAAAUUGUACCGUGUCUAUUUACAUGAUUUUCUUUCUCUUUUAAUUAUGGAAAACAACUAAGUAAGGAAAAAUCCAUCCACAAACAUAAAAUUUUUCUGCACAGAAUCAUAUAUAUAAUAGCAAGUAAUUCUCGUCUAACACGAAAAUAGUGAAAAAUAUUGUAAUAAUAAUUCUUGAAAAUCCUCUUUUAAUUAUAUCAUCCAAACGAAAAUCAUGAAAUAUAAAAAACAAGAAUAAAGAAAUAGUAAAUAACGACAAGAGAAUAAGCAUAACUUGAAUAUUUUUAUACACGCUUUUCCAUAAUAAAACUUAUAAAAUAUAUUAUUUUGAACCAAAUAAGAGCCUGAUGAUUUAUAAUGAUGUAAAAAAUUCGUCACCAGAGGAUAUAAACGGAACUCUGAAAUUUGAAUCAUGACUCUUUCUCCUCUUUUCUUCUUCUUUAUUUUUGCUUUUUGUCUUUUUUUUAUUUGUCUUUCUCUCUAUUUUUCUCUCAAUGUUAGUGUAAAAAAAGUAUGUCAUUUCUUUGGGAAAGGGGUUGAGGAAUUACACUUAAAAAGGGGAUGUGGAGAGCAGUUGAGGGAGAGUGGGGUAGUUGGAUAGUUUUAGGAUGAUUAUCCCCUUUCUUUCUUUUUUUUUUUUAAUUUAUUUUAAAAUAAAUAAUAAUAAUAAUAAUAAUAAUAAUAAUAAUAAUAAUAAUAAAAGAAUAUUUACUAAUAAAUUUUUAUAUUUUAAAAAAUAAUAAAAGUUUGUAAUAAUCUAAAAUAAAUAUAACUAAGAGAACAAUAAAACUACUAGUCUAUUUAUUAAAAUUAAAAGAAAUAUAUAUAUUUUUUUAGUUUUCGUAUUAUUUUAAAACAAAAAUAAAAUUAAAAAUAUACCAAAAAUGUAACUUUAUUUAUUAUUUCUUAUUUAUUUUCAAUUAAAAUUUAUUAAAAAUAAAAUAAAAGUUAAAAUAAAUAUUGGACAAAAAUAAAAAUAUUUAAUGUCGAAAAAUAGGUUAAAACUCAGGGAGGGUAAAAAAUCACGUGUCUAUAUUUUGUCCCUCAUUGUGUGAAAUCUCGAAGAGUUUUCAUACAAAGAAGUAGAUAAAGAGAUGAGUUUUGAUUCUCCGAUUAUUUGAAAGGUGAGGAUAAAAUAAAUGUGAUGUGAUCGAGUCCUGGUUUUGGACCGCCUAUAUAUCCCGGGUGAUAAGAAAAUCAGGUCACGUGUAGUUCAAAGAGGUAAAAUUGUGAGAAAAUGAGUUAGUGGUCGAUUCAGGUUCCGUCAAGUCUUUGGUUCACGGCAUUCUACAUUUACAUUCAAAUGAAUAACAAAAAAAAAACAAAGAUACAAGUGAAAGAUCCUAUCUAUGCACAACUUUUCUGGAAUCUUGACUUGAAUCUUCAUGACUUCUCAAGUGGUGAGAUAGUUGUUAUUUUGAUUUGACUUUGGAAAAUGAAAUGUUCCUCCAUGUUGAUUCUUAGCACUAGAUAGGAACUUAAAAAUUGACUUAUUCUUCAAACUUUCUUCUGACGUGAACUUGAAAAUUUCCACCCUAUUCUUCAGGCAGGUUCCCAAACUUGCAACUGAUAAUUUUCAGUUUAUUCUCCAGGUGAGCUACUGACUUGCUAUUUCAUCACCGUAUUUUUCAGGUGGGCUCCUGACUUGCAACUUCUUCACCAUGUUCUCCAAAUGGGCUUUUGACUUGCUAUUUUAUUACCCUGUUCUCCAGGCGGGCUACUGCUUGCUAUUUCUAAUUUUUCAAACAUGUUGCUGAACUCAAAAUAAAAUGUGAACUAGAAAGAAAAGUUUCAUUAUCCAGAAGGGUCCUGAGCAUAAACUAAAUUCCCAUUAUCCAGGAAGGUCCUGAGCAGAAAGUAAAUUCCCAUUACCCAGGAGGGUCCUGAGCAAAAAAGAUAAAGUCCCAUUAUCUAGGAAGGUCCUGAGCAGAAAUAAAAGUCUCAUUAUC
Molecule: long non-coding RNA, 6242 nt
Filed under: Capsicum annuum
Lineage: Eukaryota; Viridiplantae; Streptophyta; Magnoliopsida; Solanales; Solanaceae
Description: long non-coding RNA (CANN_LNC022387)
Source: RNAcentral